ACGAGACCUCAGGUCAGGCGGGGCUACCCGCUGAAUUUAAGCAUAUCAAUAAGCGGAGGA
RNAcentral lists this ribosomal RNA (60 nucleotides) under Astragalus membranaceus. RNAcentral's name for it is "partial 28S ribosomal RNA". It matches the Rfam family "Eukaryotic large subunit ribosomal RNA", at positions 1 to 57 of the family's 3401-position model. Lineage: Eukaryota; Viridiplantae; Streptophyta; Magnoliopsida; Fabales; Fabaceae. The record is from RNAcentral.